Cyprinus carpio carpio is the source of this 659-nucleotide long non-coding RNA. Lineage: Eukaryota; Metazoa; Chordata; Actinopteri; Cypriniformes; Cyprinidae. The record is from Ensembl.
UUUUUUUUAUGAUUAUGAUGAUAUGUAUGUAUAUGUGUGAGUGUAUUUAAAAUCUUUUUAAUUCAAUUCAAAUUCACUUCAUUGCUGGAAUUUCUUCCAAAAAUUGUCUCGCAUCCCAUAUUGUUUACUGUCUAACAUUAAUUCACAUCAAUACACACACACACACACUGCUAUGGUUUAGAAAGAAGAAUUGUGCCUUCCAAAAUAAAAUGAUUUUCAUGCAGAAUAAUGCACCAUUACUGAAAAAAAACACCAUUGAUUCCUUGAUUGCUAUGGACAUGAAAAGAGCCAGCAUCACCCCCUGACCCCACUCCUAUUGAGAACCUGCGGAGCAUCCUUGAAAUGAAGAUCUAUGAGGGUUGGCGGCAGUUACCCCCAAACAACAGCUCUGGGAUCCUCAAAUGAAAUACUGCCAGAAACUAUACAUGGACUUACAAGUUCAAUGGAUGAGAGAAUUGUUAAAGUCAUCUCCAAGAAGGGAAUACAACCACCAGAAAUCAAAACAUCUGAAAGAAAGGACAACUGGAACUAUGCUGGAGAGCUUCAAACUGAAGAAAAUAAGUCCAACCAACAGGAGGAGCAUGAUAGGAAAAUAAGUGCAGACACAUGAUAAUUCUUCAAAGAAUGGUGUAUAUCAAUAAAUGCAAUUUUAAACUGUA